This 1033-nucleotide long non-coding RNA is filed under the name Brassica rapa (field mustard). Its description in RNAcentral is "long non-coding RNA (BRAP_LNC002255)". The record is from RNAcentral. Lineage: Eukaryota; Viridiplantae; Streptophyta; Magnoliopsida; Brassicales; Brassicaceae.
UUGAUCCUGACGGUGAAUAACCCGGUGCAUACGACGGAGGAGCUGGCGGAGAAGUCACCGGAGAAGUUGCCGGAGAAACAGGGGAAGAUGAUUUAGGUGACAUUGAUCCCGGCGGUGAAGAACCCGGUGCAUACGACGGAGGAGCUGGCGGAGAAGUUGCCGGAGAACCAGCGGAGGAAGAUUUAGGUGGCAUUGAACCCGGCGGAGAAGUCACCGGAGAAGACGACGGAGAACCAGGGGAAGAUGAUUUAGGUGACAUUGAUCCCGGCGGAGAAGAUGACGGAGAACCAGGGAAUGAGGAUUUAGGUGGCAUUGAUCCCGGCGGAGAAGUCAUCGGAGCAGAGGACGGAGAACCAGGGGAAGAGGAUUUAGGUGGCAUAGGUGCGGGUGGAGAAGUCGACGGAGACAUAUGAGAGGAAGAUUUAGGUGCCAUUGAACCUGGUGGAGAAGUUGCCGGAGACUUAGCGGAGGAUGAUUUAGGUGGCAUUGAUCCCGGCGGAGAAGUCACUGGAGAAGAAGACGGAGAAACAGGGGAAGAUGAUUUAGGUGGUGUAUGUGCCGGUGGAGACGUCGCCGGAGAAACAGGGGAUGAAGAUGAUUUAGGUGGCAUUGUUCCCGGUGGAGAAGUCACCGGAGAAACAGGGGAAGUAGAUUUAGGUGGCAUAGGUGCCGGUGGAGAAGUCGCCGGAGAAACAUGGGAAGAAGACUUAGGUGGCAUUGAUCCCGGCGGAGAAGUCACCGGAGCAGAAGACGGAGAAACAGGGGAAGAAGAUUUAGGUGGCGUAGGUGCGGGUGGAGAAGUCGCCGGAGAAACAGGGGAAGAGGAUUUAGGUGGUGUGUGUGCGGGUGGAGAAGUGGCCGGAGAAACAUGGGAAGAAGACUUAGGUGGAAUUGAUCCCGGAGGAGAUUUUCCCGGUGAUGCUGCUUGAGGAGGAGCCGGAGUUCUAACGGACAAGACAACGACAGUAAGCUUUUGUCCCUUCUUACAGUUAUCUUCAUUGCCACUGAUGAAGUAAAAUGGACCAGAGCGUUC